UACAUGCAUCAGCUGGAGCAGAGGCUGGAAGUGGCUACAGACAAUAAGAGGAAGGAAGUGGCUCUCUACUACUCAACCAGUGAAUAUUAUCAAUACCACAGAGGCUUAUGUACAGACCCAAAGCCAGGUACUCACAGUAUAAAUUACAGUCAUAUACAGUAUAGUACAGACGUCGUCACAUUCUUGGAUGCUCAUAAACUCAUAUUUAAAGAGACACCCUGUCUUCCUUUGCAUCUCGUGGCGAUGACUCCUAAUAUGACAAAUCGUCUGAGGAUGAGAAACCCUCUUCAGAGGAUGAGAAGCCUACGUCUCCACUACACUACCAGACACCCAGACUACCCUACUGGAAUGACGCCCUGGAACGCUCCUCUCACCGGAGUGUCGAGUGUCCCCAGACAGAGACAGAUGAGGAGGGGCACAAGACCAGUAAGGGUGAAGACCAGACCACAACAACCCAAUCAUAAGCUGACCAUUCUGGCCUUCUGCCAAACCCUCCACUAUCUCCCCGCGUAACUAAGCAGUUUAUUUUCCGACUGUACAUACACAGUGCUGACUGCUGUUAAAACCGCCCUGUUCCUUUCCUCUUCAUGUGUGAGAAUAUGUAAAGCACUGCAGCAGCGCCCCUGAAUUAAAGAACAGCGGGAAUAAGAGCAUCUAUAAAAUUAUAAUGAUUUUCCUCCCCCAAAAAAUGAUUUGAGUGUUAUAGAGGUAAUGCAUCAGCUGGAGUAGGCCAGCGGGAGUAGAGCAGAGCCACAUAGGGAGGGAUGGGAGUAGGGGGAAAUAAAGACCAGUGCUGGAAGCAGUGUGGGGAUGAUCCAUCACUAGUCACACACAGUGUUCAGUAUUCACCACAGCAUUACUCAUUCUCCCGCUCUCUCUCUCUCCAACCAUUAUUAACUACUAUGCCCAUUCUCUCUCGCUUGCAUCCAUCCACAGAGCCUCAACCAAAUGUCUCACCAUCUCCCUCUUUCAUUGUGAGCUUGCUGACUGCUCCCCCUUGUGGUAAAAAAAUAGAGGACAAGUUGAUUGAAUAUCCUACAAACAGUGAUGGGCAACUUUGAAGGGGGCCACAAAAAAUCUGUACUCAUCAUGAGGGGCAGCAGUGGCUCGUGGGUCUGCAUACCCACAUAUGCAGUCAGAGCCAGCCCUAGCCUUUUGGGGACACUAAGAAAAAUAUUGCCAGGGGCAAUUCUACACAUUUUGCCAUUGGGUAGAGAGAACUGUUUGCCGUUUUGAAUAUGAUAUUGAAGUGAAAGUGACUAACAAAAUCAAUGGGGCCCCCCCCGGUCGGUAAUUGGAUCAUUACUACAAGUUUAGAUAGCCGGCUAGUUGAAAGCAAUCUGUCCAUUACACUAUUUUUAUCUUGGUAUACAUUUUAUCUAGGUGCUAUAAACUAGCCCGAUACAUUUGGGAGUAGGCUGUAAAGAUGUGUGUAGAGUUGUAAAAGUGUGCACAAGAGUGAUAGAAUGAACAAGUUCCCUCUUUGGUUUACUUUCAGAGUGCUUCACACUGUGUGGAUGAGUUUUUGCAAUAAAACACUGUCUGUUUA
Long non-coding RNA from Salvelinus sp. IW2-2015, 1549 nucleotides. RefSeq lists it as uncharacterized. NCBI's taxonomy places the organism in Eukaryota, Metazoa, Chordata, Actinopteri, Salmoniformes, Salmonidae. The record is from RefSeq and is a predicted model, not a curated record.